UGCUUACUGCCGCUCUUUUUUUCCCCCUCCCCUUGUUUAGAUUUGGGUUGCUGAAAUUUUCUUUUCUUUUUUUCAUCCUCCUCCUCCUCCUCCUCCUUACUUUAUUUUGUGUUUAACUUUUUUUCCCUUCUUUCCUUCAACUUUAAUAAACCCGAUCAUUCCUUCCGAUUGAUCCUCUGCCAAAUUUCCACCAAACGGUCGGAUCCAAAUUCAAUGGAAAAGGAAGCGACUGGCGGUCGCACGAAGCAAUGACCAUGGCAGAUGGAUGAAAUGAUAACAUCAACGGAAUUAAUUUCCUGACAAAUGAUGAUACAAAGUAUUGAAUGAAACAUGUCAAUCAUCAUUUACUUAUCUACAUUUCCCACACUCUAGUGAAUUUCAUACUUUAGCUAAUUUCAACACUUUAGCUCUAGCUACUCUUCCACCUCUUUAAUUUUUUCUUUAGCUCUCUCCAUCUCUCUAUCUCUUAUAACAAUCUCUUUUUUUAUACGUUAUUCAUCUUUAACCUCUCCCUUUCAUCCCAUCUCAAUUCCUCCUUCGACUCUCAAUCGCCCCCCAUCUACCUUCUUUCGCUCUCCUUCUCCCCAACGAGGUCGCGUUCCUCUUCGCUAUUCCCCUCUACUCCCCUCUCUCGCCCCACACACCGCCUGUCUCGCUCACUCAACUCCCUUUCGCCCUCCCCCACGUCAUCCCCCCUGCUUGCUAGCGUUUAGCCUUUCGUUCUUCCUCUCAGCGUUUAGCGCGGUGCAACGGAUUGUGGAGUCGCUCGCCGGAGGUAACACGUUGUAGCCGAACUAAAAGUGACAUCAUACUUCGGCACUUGCAUGGGUGGGAUUCCCGGAGAUCGUGUGGAUUUGCUAGCUCCUCCAUCCAAUGCGACUCGGCAGUUGAUGUAGAGCGGCCAUUCGAGAUUACAUGGGAGAUGCUGUAGUAGACUGCGUGUUUCGUAUACAUAUAUUAUAUACACCUGCCGUGCACCGCAAUACUUUUUGCCUUUUCCCAUCCACUUUUUU
Non-coding RNA from Schizosaccharomyces pombe (fission yeast), 1013 nucleotides. The record is from the annotation of a GenBank genome assembly. Lineage: Eukaryota; Fungi; Ascomycota; Schizosaccharomycetes; Schizosaccharomycetales; Schizosaccharomycetaceae.